This is a long non-coding RNA of Equus caballus (horse), 10192 nucleotides long. The record is from Ensembl. Lineage: Eukaryota; Metazoa; Chordata; Mammalia; Perissodactyla; Equidae.
UUCUAUCAUGCCCGGCAGGUGAUUCCAGAGAGUCCACCAAGUGGUUUUGGCAUAGCCAGCAGGUGAUUUUGGCGUGUCCGGCAGGUGGUUCAGGCGAGUUGAGCAGGUGGUUCCGCCGUGCUCGGCAGGUGCUUCCGGCGUCUCCGGCACGUGUUUCUGGCACAUCUGACAGGUGGUUCCGGCAUGCCCGAAAGGUGAUUCCGGUCUGUCCAGUAGGUGGUUCUGGCGUGUCUGGCACGUGGUUCUGGUACGUCUGAGAGGUGGUUCCCACAUGCCCAUCAGGUGAUUCUUGACUGUCCGCCACGUGGUUCUGGCACAUCUGAGAGGUGGUUCCGGUAUGCUGGGCAGUUCAUCCCGGACUGUCCCCCAAAGGGUUCCAGCAUGUCUGUGAGGUGGUUCCAGCAUGCCCGGCCAGUGAUCCUGGAGAGUCCUCCAAGUGAUUUUGGCGUAGCUGGCAGGUGAUUUUUGUGUGUCCAGCAGGUGGGUCCUAUGACUCGAGCAGGUGGUUCUGGCAUGCUUGGCAGGUGGUUCAUGCACGUCCGGCAGGUGGUUCCAUUCUGUCAAAUAGGUGGUUCCGGCGUGUCCAGCACGUGGUUCCGGCACAUCUGAGAGGUGGUUCCGGCAUGCCUGGCAGUUGAUCCCUGAGAGUACUCCACGUGGUUCUAUCGUAGCUGGCAGGUGAUUUUGGCAUGUCCGGCAGGAGGUUCUGGUCUGUCUGGGUGGUGGUUCUGGUGUGUCCGGCACGUGGUUCCGGUCUGUCCAGUAGGUGGUUCCGGCAUCUCAGGCACGUGGUUGUGGUACGUCUGAGAGGUGGUUCCGACAUGCCCGGCAGGUGAUCCCGGAGAGUCCUCCAAGUGGUUCUUGCAUAGCUGGGUGGUGAUUUUGGCGUGUCUGGCUGGUGGUGCUGGCGUGCUUGGCAGGUGGUUCAGGCAGGGCCGGUAGGUGGUUCCAGCAUGUCCGGCACGUGGUUCCGGUAUGUCUCAGAGGUGGUUCUGGCAUGCCCGGCAGGUGAUUCCAGAUUGUCCACCAAGUGGUUCUGGCGUAGCUGGCAGGUGAUUUUGAUGUGUCCGGUGGGUGGUUCCGGCUAUUCGAGCAGGUGCUUGCAGCGACCUCGGCAGGUGCUUCUGGCGUCUCCGGCACGUGGUUCUGGCACAUUUGAGAGGUGGUUCUGGCAUGCCCGGCAGUUGAUUCUGGAGUGUCUGGCAAGUGGCUCUGGCAUAGCCGGCAGGUGAUUUUGGCAUGACCAGCAGCUGGGUCCUGCAUGUCGAGCAGGUGUUUCCGGCAAGCUUGCCAGGUGGUUCAGGCGUCUCCAGGAUGUGGUUCUUCCACAUCUGAGAGGUGGUUUCGGCACACCAGGCAGGUGAUUCUGGUUUGCCAGCCCAGUGGUUCUGGCGUAGCCAGCAGGUGAUUUUGCAUGUCCAGCGGUGGUUCCGGCGAGUCGAGCAGGUGGUCUCGGCGUGCUCGGCAGGUGCUUCCUGCGUGUCCAGCACGUGUUUCUGGCACGUCUGAGAGGUGGUUCUGGCAUGCCCGGCAGGUGAUUCCGGAGUGUCCGGCAAGUGGUUCUGGUGCAGCCGGCAUGUGAUUUUGGCAUGUCCAGUAAAUGGGUCCUGCGAGUCGAGCAGGUGGUUCCUGCGUGCUCGGCAGGUGGUUCAGCCAUGUCCGGAAGGUGGUUCCAGUCUGUCCAGGACGUUUUUCUGUCGUGUCUGGCUCGUGGUUCUGGUACGUCUCAGAGGUGGUUCCGCCAUGCCUGGCAGGUGAUUCCGGACUGUCCCCCACAUGGUUCUAGCACUUCUGAGAGGUGGUUCUGGCAUGUCCGGCCGGUGAUUCCGGAGAGAGCUCCAAGUAUUUCUGGUGUAGCCGGCAGGGGAUUUUGUCGUGUCCGGCAGGUGGUUCCGGUAUGUCAAGCAGGUCAUUCCGGUGAGCUCGGCAGGUGCUUCCGGUGUCUCCGGCACGUGGUUCUGUCUGGUUUGAGAGGUGGUUGUGGCACGCCCAGCAGGUGAUUCAGGAGUGUCUGGCAAGUGGUUCUGGCAUAGCUGGCAGGUGAUUUUGGCGUGUCUGGCAGGUGGGUCCUGCAAGUCGAGCAGGUGGUUGUGGCAUGCUCGCCAGGUCAUUCAGACGCGUCCGGCAGGUGGUUCCGUUCUGUCCCGUAGGUGGUUCUGGCGUGUCAGGCAUGAGGGUCUGGCAUGUCUGAGAGGUGCUUCUGGGAUGCCUGACAGGUGAUUCCGGAGUGUCCGCCAAGUGCUUCUGGCGUAGUUGGCAGGUGAUUUGGGGUGUCUGGCAGGUGGUUCUGUGGAGUGCAUCCCGUACUUCUGGCAUUCUCAGCAGGUGCUUCCAGUGUCUCCGGCUCAUGCUUCUGGCACAUCUGAGAGGUGGUCCUGGCAUGCCCAGCAGGUGAUUCCGGAGUGUCUGGCAAGUGGUGAUGGCACAGCCAGCAUGUGAUCUUGGCAUGUCCGCUAAGUGGGUCCUGCAAGUCGAGCAGGUCGUUCCUGCGUGCUCGGCAGGUGGUUCAGGCAUGUCCAGCACUUGGAUCCAAUCUGUCCAGGACGUGGUUCUGGGGUGUCCACCACGUGGUUCUGGUACGUCUCAGAGGUGGUUCUGGCAUGCCUGGCAGGUGAUUCCGGACUGUCCCCCAGGUGGUUCUAGCACGUCUGAGAGGUGGUUCCGGCAUGCCCAGCAGGUGAUCCAAGAGAGUCCUCCAAGUGAGUCUGGCAUAGCCCACAGGUGAUUUUGGCAUAUGCGGCAGGUGGUUCUGGCAUGCAUGGCAGGUGGUUCCGGGAGGUCCGGUAGGUGGUUCCGGUCUGUCCUGGAGGUGGUUCCAUCGUGUCCAGCACGUGGUUCCAACAUGUCUGACAGGUGGUUCUGGCAUGUCUGGCAGGUGAUUCUGGAUUUUCCGCCAAGUGGUUCUGGCGUAGUUGGCAGGUGAUUUUGGCGUGACCGGCAGGUGGUUCCAGCAAGCCUGGCAGGUGAUUCCGAAGUGUUCACCAACUGGUUGUCUCGUAGCAGGCAGGUGAUUUUGGCGUGUCCAGCAGGUGGUUCUGGCGAGUUGAGCAGGUGGUUCCAGCAUGCUCGGCAGGUGCUUCCGGUGUCAUUGACAUGUGGUUCUGGCAUGUCUGAGAGGUGGUUCCGGCAUGACCGUCAGGUGAUUCCGGAGUGUUCACCAAGUGGUUCUGGCGUAGCUGGCAGGUGAUUUUGCAUGUCCGGCAGGUGGUUCUGGAGAGUGGAGCCGGUGGUUCCGGCGUGUCCGGCAGGUGGUUCCUGUCUGUCCGGCAGGUGGUUCUGGGGUGUCCGGCCCGAGGUUCUGGCACGUCUAAGACGUUGUGCUGGCAUGCCGUUCACGUGAUUCUGGCUUGUCCGCCAAGUGGUUCUGGUGCCGUCAUGCCAGAAACAUUGUUCCAGCUUGUACGCAAAGUGGUUCUGACGUAGCCGGCAGGUGCUUCCAGAGAGUCUGGCAGGUGGUUCCGGUCUGUCCGGUAGGUGGUUCCAGCGUGUAAGGCAUGUGAUUCUGGCACUUCUGAGAGGUGGUUCCGGCAUGUCCAGCAGGUGAUUCCGGGUUGUCCACCAAGUGGUUCUGGUGUAGCCGGAAGGUGAUUUUGGCGUGUCUGGCAGGUGUUUCCGGCUAGUCGAGCAGGUGGCUCUGGCGUGCUCUGCCGGUUCGUUCCGGCGUGUCUGGCUGGUGGUUCCCUUCUGUCCGGUAGGUGGUUCCCGCGUGUCUGGCACGUGGUGCUGGCACAUCUGAGAGGUGAUUCCAGCAUGCCCGGCAGGUGAUUCCAGAGUGUCCACCAAGUGGUUCUGGCAUAGCCAGCAGGUGAUUUUGGCGUGUCCGGCAGGUGGUUCUGUGGAGUGGAUCAGGAACUUCCGGCAUUCUCGGCAGGUGCUUCCUCCGUCUCCGGCAUGUGGUUGUGGCACCUCUGAGAGGUGGUUCCAGCAUGCCCGGCAGGUGAUUCCGGAGUGUCCGACAAGUGGUUGUGGCGUAGCCAGCUGGUGAUUUUGGCGUGUCCGGCAGGUGGUUCUGGCGACUCAAGCAGGUGUUCCCGGCGUGUCCGACAGGUGGUUCCGGUCUGUCCUGGAGGUGGUUGCGGAGUGUCUGCCGAGUGGUUCUGGCGUAGCCGGCAGGUGAUUUUGGCGUGUCCAGCAGGUGGUUCUGUGGAGUGGAUCAGGUCGUCCCGGCAUACUCGGCAGGUGGUACUGGCUUGUCCGGUACAUGGUUCUGGCAAGUCUGAGAGGUGGUUCCGGCUGGCCCGACAGGUUUUUCCGGAGUGUCCAAGUGGUUCUGGCGUACCUGGCAUGUGAUGUUGGCGUGACCGGCAGGUGGUUCCAGCAAUCCCGGCAGCUGAUUCCGAAGUGUUCACCAACUGGUUGUGGCCUAGGCGGCAAGAGUUUUUGGCGUGUCCGGCAGGUGAUUCUGAAGUUUCCGCCAAGUUGUUCUGGCGUAGCCGUCAGGUGAUUUUGCCACUUCUGGCAUGUGGUCACAGAGAGUCGAGCAUGUGGUUCCGGCGUGCUCGACAGUUGGUUCAGGCAGGUCCGGCAGGCGGUUCCGGUCUGUGCGGGAGGGGGUUCCGGCGUGUCCGGCAUGUGUUUCUGGCACAUCUGACAUGUGAUUCCGGCAUGCCCGAAAGGUGAUUUCGGUCUGUCCGGUAGGUGGUUCCGGCGUGUACGGCACGUGGUUCUGGUACGUCUCAGAGGUGGUUGCGCAUGCCCAACAGGUGAUUCCAGACUCUCCGCCACGUGGUUCUGGCACGUCUGAGAGGUGGUUCCAGCAUGCCCGGCAGGUCAUCCCAGAGAGUCCUCCAAGUGGUUCUGGCAUAGCCCGCAGGUGAUUUGGGCGUGUCCUGCAGGUGGUUCCGUCGUGCUCGGCAGGUGGUUCCGGCGUGGCCGGCAGGUGGUUCCAGUCUGUCCAGUACGUGUUUCCAGCUUGUGCGGCACGUGGUUAUGGUACGUCUGAGAGGUGGUUCCGCCAUUGCUGGCAGGUGAUUCUGGACUGAUCCCCAGGUGGUUCUGGCAUAGCCAGCAGUUGAUAUUGGCCUGCCGGCAGGUGGUUCCGGCGAGUCCAGCAGGUGGCUGUGGCGUGUUCGGCAGGUGGUUCCGGCGUGUCUGGCAGGUGGUUCCAUUCUGUCCGAUAGGUCGUUCUGGCAUGUCUGGCACGUGCUUCUGGCACGUGUGAGAGGUGGUUCUGGCAUGCCCGGCAGGUGAUUCCGGAGUGUCCGCCAAGUGGUUCUGGCCUAGCCGGCAGUUCAUUUUGGCGUGUCCGGCAUGUGGGUCCUGCGAGUCAAGCAGGUGGUUCCGGCGUGCUCGGCAGGUGGUCCAGACGUGCCCGGCAGGUGGUUCCGGUAUUACGGGGAGGGGGAUCCGGCGUGUCCGGCACGUUGUUCUGGCCCAUCUGAGAGGUGGUUCUAUGAUGCCCGGCAGGUGAUUCCAGAGAGUCCACCAAGUGGUUUUGGCGUAGCCGGCAGGUGAUUUUGGCAUGUCCGGCAGGUGGUUCAGGCGAGUUGAGCAUGUGGUUCCAACGUGCUCGGCAGGUGGUUCCGGCGUCUCUGGCACGUGUUUCUGCCACAUCUGACAGGUGGUUUUGGCAUGCCCGGAAGGUGAUUCUGGUCUGUCUGGUAGGUGCUUCCAGCGUGUACGGCACAUGGUUCUGGUACUUCUCAGAGGUGGUAGCGCAUGCCCAACAGGUGACUCCAGACUGUCCGCCAGGUGGAUCCGGCAGAGCCAUAUGUUGAUUUUGGCCUGUCCGGCAGGUUGUUCUGGCAUGUCUGGCAGGUGUUUCCGGCAAGUCUGGCAGGUGAUUCCGGAGUGUCCGCCAAGUGGUUCUGGCAUACCCGGCAGGUGAUUUUGGCGUGUCAGGUAGGUGGUUCUGGCGAGUCGAGCAGGUGGUUCCGGCGUGCUCGACAGGUGCUUCCGGAGUGUUCGGCAAGUGGUUCUGGCGUAGCCGGCAGGUGAUUUUGCAUGUCCGGCAGUGGUUCCAGCGGGUCUAGCCGGUGGUUCCGGCGUGUCCGGCAGGUGGUUACGGUCUGUCCGGCAGGUGGUUCUGGGGUGUCCGGCACGAGGUUCUGGCACGUCUGAGAGGUUGUGCCGGCAUGCCCUUCACGUGAUUCCGGCUUGUCCCCCAAGUGGUUCUGGCGUAGCCGGCAGGUGGUUUUGCAUGUCCGGCUGUGGUUCCGGUGUGUCGAGCUGGUGGUUCCUUCGUGUCCAGCACGUGGUUCUGGUACGUCUGAGAUGCGGUUCCGGCAUGGCUGGCAGGUGAUUUCGGAGUGUCUGCCAUGUUGUUCUGGCAUAUCCAGCAGGUGAUUAUGGCGUGUCCGGCACAUCUUUCCAGCGAGUCGAGCUGGUUAUUCCUGCGUGCUUGGCAUGUGCUUCUGGUGUUUUUGGGAGUUGAUUCCGGCGUGUCAGGAAUGUGGUUGUGGCAAGUUUGAGAGGUAUUUCCUGCAUGCCCGCAAGAGAUUCCAGAGUGUCCACCAAGUGGUUCUGGUGGAGCUGGCAGGAGAUUUUGGCGUGUCCAGCAGGUGGGUCCUGCGUGUCGAGAAGGUGGUUCCUGCAUGCUCGGCAAGUGAUUCCGGCGUGUCCGGCAGGUGCUUCUGGUCUGUCCGGGAGCUGGUUCCGGCAUGGCCGGCACGUGGUUCUGGCACGUCUGUGAGGUGCUUCGGGCAUGCCCGGCAGGUGAUUCCUGGGUGUCAGCCAAGUGGUUCUGGCGACACCGGCUGGUUAUUUUGGUGUGUCCGGCAGGUCUUUCCUGCUUUUUGGGCUCGUGGCUCUGGCUUGUAAGACACAUGCUUGUGGCAUUUCUGACCCCCGUUCUUUCAUACUCCUCAGCUGGUUUCAGUGUUUCUGGAACCUGUUUGUGGCAUAUCCAACAGGUGUUAACAAUGUGUCUGGCAUGUCGUUGUGCUAUGUUUGGAAUCUGGUUCCAUGUCAUUGUGUGCAGCUGGCAUGUUGAAGAGAUGGUUCUGCAGUGUCAGAAUCUCUGUUCCACUGUGUCUGGCAGGUGGUUACAGGUGGUUCUGGCAUGCAAAGUGGGUGCUUCUGGUAUGCCUGUUGGGUCAUACUGGCAUGAAUGUGUGGCCCUUUGAGAGUGUGCAGAGGGUGUUUUUGGCAUGUCUCCCAGGGUUUUCUGGCACAUAAGGGGCAUGAUUCCUUUUUAUACAUCAGGUGAGUUUGUUCUCAGCUUCCUAAAGAGAUGGAAGGAAGAUGGUCUGUGGCUUGUCACCCCUUGGGGGUGGAGCAAGUGCAUUGAGCAUUCCACUUCUACAGCAAUGGAGGGCACGGCCGAGAGUAAAGGGCCUUUCUGACAAUGGUGCUUUCUGACACUACCCCAACCACUGCUCAUGGGCGGUUGGUUAAAAGCCAAUUGUCUGUCUCCUCCUCAGCAUGUGGAACCACAAUCAUCCAGGCCUCGUUCCCAUUGCUCAAGGGGAAGAUGUAGGCAUUUCGUCUGAGCCGGGUUGGCAAGGUGGAAAUGCGGCAGAAACAGAUGUUGCAGAUUGGCAAGUUAAGGGCUGAAAAGACAUGGCAUUCAGCUGCUUUGUAUGAGAUGUUCCCAGGAUGCUGUAAGAGCACUGAGGAAUGCGAGUGCUUCCCCAGCUUUCUAAAGAGCUGGAAGCAGGACAGUUUAUGGCUUGUCUCCAAUUGAAGGAUGGAGGCAGUCCUUUGUGCCUUCCACCACUAGAGCAAUGGAGGGCACGGCUGAGAGCAAAGGGCCCUUUCUGACAUAGGCGCAUUCUGACACUCUCUGCACCAGUGCACAAUGGCGGUUUGUAAAAAGCCUAUUGUCUGCUCCUGCUAAGCAUGUGGAAGCACAAUCAUCUGGGGCUCGUUCCCGUUGCUGGAGGGGAAGAUGUAGGCAUUUCGUCUGAGCCGGGUUGGCAAGGUGCAAAUCUGGCAGAAGCAGAACUUCCAAAUCGGCGAGUUAAGCGCAGAAAACAAACGGCAUAUCAGCUGCCUUUGUAUGAGAUGUUGCCAGGACACAGAAAGAGCACUGUAGAGAGCGAGUUCUUUCUCAGCUUCCUAAAAAGAUGGAAGGAAGAUGGUCUGUGCCUUGUCACCCCUUGAGGGUGGAGCACGUGCAUUGAGCAUUCCACGUCUACAGCAAUGCAGGGCACGGCUGAGAGCAAAGGGGUCUUUCUGACAUAGCUGCUUUCCGACACUCUCUCCACCAGUGCACAAUGGUGGUAGGAAAAAGGUGUACACUCUAUCACCUCCUAAGCAGGUGGCCGCACAAUCAUUUGGGACUCAGCCCAGUUGCUUCAGGGGAAGAUGAAGGCAUUUCGUCUGAGCCGGGUUGGCAAGGUGGAACUGCGGCAAAAGCAGAAGUCCUAAAGCGGCGAGUUAAGCGCUGGGAAGAAAUGGCGUUUGAGCUGCCUUUGUAUGAGAGUUUCCUCGUAUGCUGUACAGCACUGUGGAAAGCGAGUUCUUUCUCAGCUUCCUAAAGAGCUGGAGGGAAGACAGUUUAUGGCUUGUCUCCCAUUGAAGGAUGGAGGCAGUCCUUUGUGCCUUCCUGCUCUAGAGCAAUGGAGGGCACUGCUGAGAGUAAAGGGGUCUUUCUGCCAUUGGUGCUUUCUGACACUCUCUCAACCAUUGCACUUGGUGGUUAGUUAAAAGCCUAUUGUCUCUCUCCUCCUCAGCAUGUGGAACCACAAUCAUCCGGGCCUCGUCCCCAUUGCUCAAGGGGAAGAUGUAGGCAUUUCGUCUGAGCCGGGUUGGCAAGGUGGAAUUGUGGCAGAAUCAGAAGUUCUAAAGUGGCGAGGUAAGGUCUGGCAAGAAAGGCCGUUUGACCUUCAUUUCUAUGACAGUUUACCCGUAGGUUUUUCCCGGGAGCCGAGCAAGUGUUUCUGGCAUUCUCGGUAGGAGGUUCGGGCAUGUACAGCAGGUGGUUCCAGUCUGUCCAGGAUGUGAUUCUGGCGUUUCUGGCACGUGUUUCUGGUACGUCUCAGAGGUGGUUCUGGCAUGCCCGGCCGGUGAUCCUGGAGAGUCCACCAAGUGAUUCUAACGUAACCGGCAGGUGAUUUUUGCCUGUCCGGCAGGUGGUUCUGGCAUGUCUGAGAGGUGGUUCCAGCGUGCCCAGCAGGUGAUUCCGGAGUGCUCGCAAAGUGGUUCUGGCGUAGCCGGCAGGUGAUUUUGCAUGUCCGGCGGUGGUUCCGGCUUGUCGAGCCGGUGGUUCCGGCGUGUCCGGCAGGUGGUUCUGGGGAGUGGAUCAGGUGGUUCCGGCAUACUCGGCAGGUGGUACCAGCGUGUCCGGAACAUGGUUCUGGCAAGUCUGAGAGGUGGUUCCAGCAUGCCCGGCAGGUGAUUCCGGAGUGUCCGCCAAGUGGUUCUGGCGUAGCUGGCAGGUGAUGUUGGCGUGACCGGCAGGUGGUUCCAGCAAGCCCGGCAGGUGAUUCCGAAGUGUUCACCAACUGGUUGUGUGGUAGCCAGCAGGUGAUUUUGGCGUGUCAGGCAGGUGGUUCUGGCGAGUCAAGCAGGUGGUCCCGGCGUGUCCGGCAGGUGGUUCCGGUCUGUCCUGGAGGUGGUUCCGGAGUGUCUCCCGAAUGGUUAAGGUGUAGCCGGCAGGAGAUUUUUGGCGUGUCCAGCAGGUGGUUCUUGGGAGUGGAGCAGGUGGUUCCGGCAUACUCGGCAGGUGGUUCCGGCGUGUCCGGCACAUGGUUCUGGCACGUCUGAGAGGUGGUUCCGGCAUGCCCGGCAGGUGAUUCCGGAGUCUCCGUCAUGUGGUUCUGGCACCUCUGAGAGGUGGUUCCGGCAUGCCCGGCAAGUGGUUCUGGAGUGUCUGCUGAGUGGUUCUCUCGUACCCCGCAGGUGUUUCUGGUGUGUCCGGCAGGUGGCUCUGUGGAGUCGAGCAGGUGCUUCCGGCGUGUCCGGCACGUCGUUCAGGUGUGUCUGAGAGCGGGUUCUGGCAUGUCCGGCAGAUGAUUCCGGAGUGUCCACCAAGUGGUUCUGGUAUACCUGGCAGGUGAUUUUGGCGUGUCAGGAAGGUGGUUCCGGCUAGUUGAGCAGGUGGAUCAGGCGUGCUCGCCAGGCGUUUCAGGCGGGUCUGGCAGGUGGUUUCGGUCUGUUCGGGGUGUGGUUCCGGCAUCUUAGGCACAUGUUUCUGGCACGUCUGAGAGUUGGUUCCGGCCUGCCCGACAUGUGUUUCCGGUUGUCCGCCAAGUGGUUCUGGCGUAGCUGGCAGGUGAUGUUGGCGUGACCGGCAGGUGGUUCCAGCAAG